RNAcentral lists this ribosomal RNA (201 nucleotides) under uncultured bacterium. Its description in RNAcentral is "partial 16S ribosomal RNA". It matches the Rfam family "Bacterial small subunit ribosomal RNA", at positions 328 to 539 of the family's 1533-position model. The record is from RNAcentral.
ACGCUCGACACCUACGGGAGGUAGCAGUGGGGAAGUAAUUGCACAAUGGGGGAAACCCGUGAUGCAGCGACGCCGCGUGAGCGAAGAAGUAUUUCGGUAUGUAAAGCUCUAUCAGCAGGGAAGAAACUGACGGUACCUGACUAAGAAGCACCGGCUAAAUACGUGCCAGCGGCCGCGGUAAUCUGAGCGGGCUGGCAAGGC